RNAcentral lists this ribosomal RNA (520 nucleotides) under uncultured Glomus. RNAcentral describes it as "SSU rRNA". It matches the Rfam family "Eukaryotic small subunit ribosomal RNA", at positions 569 to 1086 of the family's 1831-position model. The record is from RNAcentral. Lineage: Eukaryota; Fungi; Glomeromycota; Glomeromycetes; Glomerales; Glomeraceae.
AGCAGCCGCGGUAAUUCCAGCUCCAAUAGCGUAUAUUUAAGUUGUUGCAGUUAAAAAGCUCGUAGUUGAAUUUCGGGGUCAGUAGGUCGGUCGUGCCACUGGUAUGAACUGGUUUUACUGAUUCCUCCCUCUUGAAGAACUGUAAUGCCAUUAAUUUGGUGUUGCAGGGAAUCAGGACUGUUACUUUGAAAAAAUUGAGUGUUUAAAGCAGGCUUUAGCUUGAAUACAUUAGCAUGGAAUAAUGAAAUAGGACGUUUGAUCCUAUUUUGUUGGUUUCUAGGAUUGACGUAAUGAUUAAUAGGGGUAGUGGGGGGCAUUAGUAUUCAAUUGUCAGAGGUGAAAUUCUUGGAUUUAUUGAAGACUAACUACUGCGAAAGCAUUUGCCAAGGAUGUUUUCAUUAAUCAAGAACGAAAGUUAGGGAUCGAAGACGAUCAGAUACCGUCGUAGUCUUAACCAUAAACUAUAGCCGACUAGGGAUCGGAUGAUGUUUAAUUUUUUAAUGUACUUCUAGUUCGGCGU